UACUCUUGAAGUGGGGGAGUUGAGUUUGAGAAAUGAGUUGUGGACAGAGCUUUGAAUUGGAUUUUUUCUCCCAUGAUUCCUUGAACAAAAUCAAGCAUUGCCUCCGCGGAUGUGGCACAGUACUUUGUCUCUCCCUUUAUAUGUGGAGCCUCACAUUCUCUCAGUGUGUCUUCCAUGGCUUUCCCCUGUGGAGAGUUUCGAGAGAAUGAGAAACGUUGAAGGAUGUUUGGGAGUUCCUUUAGUGAAAAUGGAAUGGAAUUAGCUUCUUCCUUGCUCAAGAAUUUUGGAGAGGGAUAAAGAUCCCUUCUUGGAAAGGAGAUAAAUAUUUCUUUUCUUAGCUUUAGAUCGUCCAUAAGGAAGAAAACUCUUAAAGAAGGAUCAAUGUGGGAUGAUGAAUGGAUAUGUGCAUUCUCUGUUUUUGCUUCUUGAUGAUUGUUGUAUAUCAACUAAUUUUGAGUGUCGUCCUCAUUCCGCAGAUCACCAUAUGAUGAUAAACCAAUUUGGGCGUUCUCUGUUUUGACUUGUUGAUGAUUGUUGUCUCCUUUGUUGUUGUAUAUCAAGUAAUUUUGAGUGU
This is a long non-coding RNA of Solanum stenotomum, 574 nucleotides long. RefSeq lists it as uncharacterized. The transcript has 3 exons. NCBI's taxonomy places the organism in Eukaryota, Viridiplantae, Streptophyta, Magnoliopsida, Solanales, Solanaceae. The record is from RefSeq and is a predicted model, not a curated record.